Molecule: unclassified non-coding RNA, 308 nt
Filed under: plant metagenome
Description: partial contains small subunit ribosomal RNA, internal transcribed spacer 1, and 5.8S ribosomal RNA
Source: RNAcentral
UUUCCGUAGGUGAACCUGCGGAAGGAUCAUUAUUGAAAUAAAAACUUGGUUGGGGGUUGCUGCUGGCUCUCAGGAGCAUGUGCACACUCGCUCCAUUUUUUAAUACCACCUGUGCACACACUGUAGGCCUGAAUGAACUUUUUCGAGGUUUAAAAACUUUGGUUUGAGAACUGCCCUUGGGCUGUUCUUGUGUUCCCAGGUCUAUGUUCUAAACAAUAUACUCCAUAACAAGUAAUAGAAUGUCAAAUUAUGGGCCUUUUGUGCCUUUAAACCUAAUACAACUUUCAACAACGGAUCUCUUGGCUCUC